Molecule: ribosomal RNA, 519 nt
Filed under: uncultured bacterium
Lineage: Bacteria
Description: bacterial SSU rRNA
Rfam family: Bacterial small subunit ribosomal RNA
Source: RNAcentral
AGAGUUUGAUUAUGGCUCAGGAUGAACGCUAGCGACAGGCUUAACACAUGCAAGUCGAGGGGCAGCGCGAUGGUAGCAAUACUAUUGGCGGCGACCGGCGCACUGGUGAGUAACACGUAUGCGACCUGCCCCGGACAGGGGGAUAAACCCGGGAAACUGGGCCUAAUACCCCAUAAGUAUCGAGGAUGCAUGUCCUUGAUAUGAAAGAUCCGUCGGUCCGGGAUGGGCAUGCGGCGCAUUAGCUAGUUGGCGGGGCAACGGCCCACCAAGGCGACGAUGCGUAGGGGUUCUGAGAGGAAGGUCCCCCACACUGGUACUGAGACACGGACCAGACUCCUACGGGAGGCAGCAGUGAGGAAUAUUGGUCAAUGGACGGUAGUCUGAACCAGCCAAGUCGCCGUGCGGGAAGAAGGCCCUCCGGGUCGUAAACCGCUUUAGCCGGGGAGUAACGUGCAGGACGUGUCCUGCAGUGAGAGUACCCGGAGAAUAAGCAUCGGCUAACUCCGUGCCAGCCGCCGC